UCCCAAGUCAGAAGUCAGGUAUGCCAGAAA
This 30-nucleotide non-coding RNA is filed under the name Mus musculus (house mouse). The record is from RNAcentral. Lineage: Eukaryota; Metazoa; Chordata; Mammalia; Rodentia; Muridae.